RNAcentral lists this ribosomal RNA (325 nucleotides) under uncultured eukaryote. Its description in RNAcentral is "partial 18S ribosomal RNA". It matches the Rfam family "Eukaryotic small subunit ribosomal RNA", at positions 1470 to 1796 of the family's 1831-position model. The record is from RNAcentral.
CCCUUAGAUGUUCUGGGCCGCACGCGCGCUACACUGAUGCAUUCAACGAGCCUAUCCUUGACCGACAGGUCCGGGUAAUCUUUGAAUCUGCAUCGUGACGGGGAUAGAUUAUUGCAAUUAUUAAUCUUCAACGAGGAAUGCCUAGUAGGCACAAGCCAUCAGCUUGCGUCGAUUACGUCCCUGCCCUUUGUACACACCGCCCGUCGCUCCUACCGAUUGGGUGUGCUGGUGAAAUGUUCGGAUCGGCCGUUUGUCGCGGUUUCCGCGUCAUGUGGCUGAGAAGUUCAUUAAACCCUCCCACCUAGAGGAAGGAGAAGUCGUAACA